CAGCAGCCGCGGUAAUACGGAGGGAGCUAGCGCUGUUCGGAAUUACUGGGCGUAAAGCGCACGUAGGCGGCUUUGUAAGUUAGAGGUGAAAGCCUGGAGCUCAACUCCAGAACUGCCUUUAAGACUGCAUCGCUUGAAUCCAGGAGAGGUGAGUGGAAUUCCGAGUGUAGAGGUGAAAUUCGUAGAUAUUCGGAAGAACACCAGUGGCGAAGGCGACUCUCUGGUCUGUAACUGACGCUGAGGAGCGAAAGCGUGGGGAGCGAACAGGAUUAGAUACCCCGGUAGUCCCUGUCUCUUAUAC
RNAcentral lists this ribosomal RNA (301 nucleotides) under uncultured bacterium. RNAcentral describes it as "partial 16S ribosomal RNA". It matches the Rfam family "Bacterial small subunit ribosomal RNA", at positions 509 to 807 of the family's 1533-position model. The record is from RNAcentral.